UGACUGCUAAGUGUGGGAGUGGCCUUCCUCCUCUUAGUGCUGCAGGUAUCGCAGUAAGCACUCCCCCUCGCGGAGUAGGGUCGCAAGAUUGAAACUCAAAGGAAUUGACGGGCGCCCGCACAAGCGGUGGAGCAUGUGGCUUAAUUAGAAGCAACGCGAAGAACCUUACCAGGUCUUGACAUCCUCUGACAACCCUAGAGAUAGGGCUUUCCCUUCGGGGACAGAGUGACAGGUGGUGCAUGGUUGUCGUCAGCUCGUGUCGUGAGAUGUUGGGUUAAGUCCCGCAACGAGCGCAACCCUUGAUCUUAGUUGCCAGCAUUCAGUUGGGCACUCUAAGGUGACUGCCGGUGACAAACCGGAGGAAGGUGGGGAUGACGUCAAAUCAUCAUGCCCCUUAUGACCUGGGCUACACACGUGCUACAAUGGACAGAACAAAGGGCUGCAAGACCGCAAGGUUUAGCCAAUCCCAUAAAUCUGUUCUCAGUUCGGAUCGCAGUCUGCAACUCGACUGCGUGAAGCUGGAAUCGCUAGUAAUCGCGGAUCAGCAUGCCGCGGUGAAUACGUUCCCGGGCCUUGUACACACCGCCCGUCACACCACGAGAGUUUGCAACACCCGAAGUCGGUGAGGUAACCUUUAUGGAGCCAGCCGC
RNAcentral lists this ribosomal RNA (650 nucleotides) under Bacillus safensis. Its description in RNAcentral is "bacterial SSU rRNA". It matches the Rfam family "Bacterial small subunit ribosomal RNA", at positions 810 to 1456 of the family's 1533-position model. The record is from RNAcentral. Lineage: Bacteria; Bacillati; Bacillota; Bacilli; Caryophanales; Bacillaceae.